AGAGUUUGAUCCUGGCUCAGAUUGAACGCUGGCGGCAUGCCUUAAACAUGCAAGUCGAACGGCAGCGCGGGGCAACCUGGCGGCGAGUGGCGAACGGGUGAGUAAUAUAUCGGAACGUACCCUAGAGUGGGGGAUAACGUAGCGAAAGUUACGCUAAUACCGCAUACGAUCUAAGGAUGAAAGUGGGGGAUCGCAAGACCUCAUGCUCAUGGAGCGGCCGAUAUCUGAUUAGCUAGUUGGUAGGGUAAAAGCCUACCAAGGCAUCGAUCAGUAGCUGGUCUGAGAGGACGACCAGCCACACUGGGACUGAGACACGGCCCAGACUCCUACGGGAGGCAGCAGUGGGGAAUUUUGGACAAUGGGCGAAAGCCUGAUCCAGCAAUGCCGCGUGUGUGAAGAAGGCCUUCGGGUUGUAAAGCACUUUUGGCGGGAACGAAACGGUACUCUCUAAUACAGGGGACUAAUGACGGUACCCGCAGAAUAAGCACCGGCUAACUACGUGCCAGCAGCCGCGGUAAUACGUAGGGUGCAAGCGUUAAUCGGAAUUACUGGGCGUAAAGCGUGCGCAGGCGGUUAUGUAAGACAGAUGUGAAAUGCCCGGGCUCAACCUGGGAACUGCAUUUGUGACUGCAUGGCUAGAAUCUGGCAGAGGGGGGUAGAAUUCCACGUGUAGCAGUGAAAUGCGUAGAUAUGUGGAGGAACACCGAUGGCGAAGGCAGCCCCCUGGGCUAAGAUUGACGCUCAUGCACGAAAGCGUGGGGAGCAAACAGGAUUAGAUACCCUGGUAGUCCACGCCCUAAACGAUGUCUACUAGUUGUCGGGUCUUAAUUGACUUGGUAACGCAGCUAACGCGUGAAGUAGACCGCCUGGGGAGUACGGUCGCAAGAUUAAAACUCAAAGGAAUUGACGGGGACCCGCACAAGCGGUGGAUGAUGUGGAUUAAUUCGAUGCAACGCGAAAAACCUUACCUACCCUUGACAUGGCUGGAAUCCCGGAGAGAUUUGGGAGUGCUCGAAAGAGAGCCAGUACACAGGUGCUGCAUGGCUGUCGUCUGCUCGUGUCGUGAGAUGUUGGGUUAAGUCCCGCAACGAGCGCAACCCUUGUCAUUAGUUGCUACGCAAGAGCACUCUAAUGAGACUGCCGGUGACAAACCGGAGGAAGGUGGGGAUGACGUCAAGUCCUCAUGGCCCUUAUGGGUAGGGCUUCACACGUCAUACAAUGGUACAUACAGAGGGCCGCCAACCCGCGAGGGGGAGCUAAUCCCAGAAAGUGUAUCGUAGUCCGGAUUGGAGUCUGCAACUCGACUCCAUGAAGUUGGAAUCGCUAGUAAUCGCGGAUCAGCAUGUCGCGGUGAAUACGUUCCCGGGUCUUGUACACACCGCCCGUCACACCAUGGGAGCGGGUUUUACCAGAAGUAGGUAGCUUAACCGCAAGGAGGGCGCUUACCACGGUAGGAUUCGUGACUGGGGUGAAGUCGUAACAAGGUA
Molecule: ribosomal RNA, 1487 nt
Filed under: metagenome
Description: bacterial SSU rRNA
Rfam family: Bacterial small subunit ribosomal RNA
Source: RNAcentral